Cyprinus carpio carpio is the source of this 4050-nucleotide long non-coding RNA. Lineage: Eukaryota; Metazoa; Chordata; Actinopteri; Cypriniformes; Cyprinidae. The record is from Ensembl.
UCGAACAUUCAAGUCGGGAUAAAAGAAUCCUGUGGUCCACAAAGUCAAAGGCUAAACUCAAGUCUAACAACACUAAAGUUAAGUUCAGGAACAGUGCUUAAGUUUGUAACAAUGCCCAUCCCUAAACCAGUCAUUUUUAUUAAUUUGCCUAUAAACAGCUUUGUCACGUUUCCACCAUUAUAUAACUUAAUAGUCAUAGUUUGCACUUUGCAGCAAGUCAAAACAACAGUGGCAUCAUGUUCAUUACAUUUGUAGAAUAAAGAAAAGAAAGAGUCCUGUUGGUGUUUCAACUUUACAGUACUUCACAUCUUGACAGUUGCUUCACAACUUCACAGUUGCUUAUUUUGUGGAAAAACUUAAUUGACCACAGACAAUCUGCCCUUAUAUUUGCCUUUAUUUCUAUUAUUACAUUGCAUUUACAGUUUCUCUAUAUUUUGAUUGUACUUGUAGCCUACAUAUGUACAUUUGAACUAGUGAAAUGGGACACUGAACACUGAAUGAUGGAGUAAUUGUUGGCAUGCCUUGUCUAUAAUCAGACAUUAUUCUUGUGAAUCAGUACAAAAGUGCAGUUCUAUGUAGAAAUAAAGACAACGGUGGAGACAGAGACAGGGCCAUUUACAAACGCUAAGAAAUGAAGCCAUAAAAAGGUGAACAGAAUCAGAAUUUUCACUCCAAACAUUCAGCUUCAGCCUCUUUCAGAGUUAACAAACAAUAAUUGAACAGACACAUAUAAAUGCAAAGUGCAUAUUAACAAUGCCAUGUUUGACACAAAACAAAAUUAAAAUUAAUAAUAAUAAUAAUCCAUACUCCUGCCAGAAAGCAGGAACAGGAUAAAGCAGGGGCACUUGAGCAGUGUGUGCAGCCCUCUUAUAAGACAAAAUACACAUACAAAAACAAAAAAAAAAAUUCCAAAUUAUUACGAAAAGCAGAUGUUAAUGCAGAGAUAAUAACUAUUAUAGUGUAUCAAGCAAGGAUAGAAAACUACUACUGAUAAGUAAAAUUGAAUUCCAAUUUGAGGGGGAAAAUGAAUAAACAAAUAAUAAUAAUAAUAAUAAAAACAUAAAAAGCUACAUUGCUUAUAUCAGUUUUAAUACCACCUGAAUCAUCAUCAGUUUUUAUAUAUAUAUAAAAAAAAAAAAAACAUUUAAAUGUUUCGCUAUUUCUUGAUAUAAUAAAUAUCAGUUUUUGCUGAAGGAAUAAAAAAGCAUAUUGGUUCUUCUACCCUAAAAAAAAUAAAAAGUAAAUAAAUUUAGCACAGCAAAACAGAUAGAGACACAUUUCUAAGUUCAGUGCAUGUGUUUGCCUGCUUACAAAGAGAAGAAACAUCAACAGACGCUGGUUUACAUGUGGAAAACAUUAUACAAAAAUAAUAACCCGAUCUCAUGAAAGUGCGUAUAAAUAGUAUGCCAAAUAAAAGCGACAACUCGUGCAUAUGCUAUGCAAUGGGUAGGUUUAGGGUUGUGGGGUAGAUCAUAUGUACUCGAAACCUGCGUAUCAUAUGCACAGCAACAAAUUUCGUAUCAUAUGCAUGCAAAAACCGCAUAUUAUAUGCACGCCAAAGUCCAUUUUUGCGUAUCAAUACCAUGAGUUUUUGUUUUUAUUUGGCGUACUAUUUAUAUGCAUUUUCAUGAGACUGGGCUCUAAAUAAAGUCCCACCACACACUAGAGGGCAGCAUUUGCUUCAGGGUAUCUGUCACGCCAACAUUUAUUCAAAUAGCCUACAAAUUAAAUGUCUGCCUCCACAAAUAAAAUCGCUAUUGUUUUAUGCUAGUGUACAGUAUAUGUGAAUCGUGAAUAUUCUAAAUCAGUGAGUUCUCUAUUAGUUAGUAAAUUCACUACAUGUGUGUCUGUACAGAAUACAAAGAUCGAGUCCUAAAGCACCAUCAGAGUAACAUGCUCGGGAUACUCAUAAUAAAUGCACGUUUUUACGUCUCUAGAGUAAGUUUAGACAGCGCUAGCACAUGCACACUCGUUCGUUACCAAAGGACUACAUGUAGGCAAAUUAUUAUGCGCAUAUGUUUUGAAUCAGUUAAGCAAUGAGCACAUCUUCAAUUAUUAGCCUACACGUUUUCAUGCAUGCAUUGCCUCCUUAAAAAUAUGUCUUUUGUAGCGCGUCUCCGCUCUGGUUUCCAGUAAGUGGAGUGUGAACGCAGACUAUUAGAGAAACCACUUUAGCAGCUGGGAGCGUGGUAUAUGUCUAAUGUUCUCUAGGUUUUAACACUUAACUACAGACUAUAAGCAUCUACACAUUUCCCUCGCAUUUAUAACAUUAUUCAAUGCGAUGUUUCUAUAAAUGGGUGAAUAAUAAUGCUUGGGGAAGCAGCAUGCAGUAAUCGGGGUCUCCUCCGGUGUGAAUGAGGCAGCAAGUAAUCAUUUUUACAAUCAAUACUGCAGCUCAAAUACCUCUACACUGCUAUUAAAUGGACAAGAUGUUCAAAAGCAGAGAGAAUGACAUAACAGAUUAAACAAUAUGUUCAAAUUCAAUGCAUCUGGCUACUUGGCCUCUUGACAUACAGGCAAAAUGUAAAGAAAAUAUACAAAUAUUUAUAAUAUCUUAUACAUAGUCAGUGUUUUCUUUAAAAGAAGCAUUCCAGUGUGGCAUCCUGGAUCCAUAAAAACCCUUAAGAUAUCAUUAGCCAUAUAUAUAUUACACAGUUUCUACAUGAACUGAAGCUAAACCAAACCAAAGAGCCGUAUUGUUUCUGGAAGUGUUUAAAACAACAUGCAACAUCUAAAAUACAUCAUCAACCAGCAUUUGUCUUUGCCAGUUUUUAAAACUAGGGAAGUAACGGUUCACAGAUUCUCAGUUUUAGGGCCAAUUUAAUUUUGUGUACCAUUUGGAUGAAAAAAAAAAAAAAAAGUAUAUUUGCUAUAUUAUAAAGCUGUCUUGGUGUUUUAUUGGUUAUAAUAUGAGAAAAAAUAUUGUGUAAAAAAUGUUAAACAAACAAACAAACAAACAAACAAACAAACAAACAAACAAACAAACAAACAAAUAAAUAAAUAAAUAAAUAAAUACCCAUUAAUACGGUGAUUGCAGAAUACUUCUAUUUACUACCACCACAAGAAAAUUAGUUUUCUUUUCAUGUUCUUAACAUGUGUUUUUAGCAUACAGAUGUAAUAGAAAGAAUAAAGGUCAUGGAAAGUGAAAAAUAAAUAAAUAAAUAAAUUGGACACCGUAUCCAUCAUAUCAUGGAAUAAUUGCUCCAGACCAGCGAUUAUUCAUCAGUGCAGCACAUUCACAGCGUGAACAAACGGCCUACAGAGACUGAGAAAUGAGCAAACGCUGCCUGCUGUAAUCACAGAAAUCCUCACGCUCCCUACAGAGUGAUUAAAACAACCAAAAAAUAAUCAGAGAUCAUUCUGAUCGCAGAGCUCCAUCCGCUUCGCCCUUUGGCUUUGACCACUUGAGCAAACUGAACAUGCACGCUGUUUGGAAAUAUAUUUAAAAAUCUGUAAAAAGGUUUUAACACUGUGUUGAUGAAUCCCAUCCAGUUCAAAUGAUUCUUUACAAUAGUUUGUACUCAGUUAUCGACCGAUUUCUGUUUGGUGCACUGUUACAGCCCUAGUUUAACAUCAUCUCCUCAUAUGAUCAAUUGCAGUUCAAUGAGUGGAGCAAUAAUAAUAAUAAUAAUAAUAAUAAUAAUAAUAAUUAAAACUCUGUACCUUGUUUUCUAGCAAAACAAAAAAUAAAUAAAUAAAUAAAUUCUUAGUAUUUUUUUUUUUGUUUUUGAGCACAAAUAUCUAAACAUCCCUAUAUCUCAAAAAAAAAAAUACAAAGAGAAAACAAGAUUAUUUAAAUAUCAUUUAUAUUAUAUUUAAGCAUUAUUUAAUAUGAUUAUUUUUAUAAUUAUAUUAUUUAUAUAUUUAAACCUGGGUUAUUAUAGCUAACUAAAACUAAACCUGAAACGAAAACUAAAACUAUGAAAUAUUUUCAUUACUUGGCAUAAAAUAAACCAACUUUAACUUUAUAAAACAUAAAAGUUUUUAUUUGGGUUAGUUGGCAAUGCAAAAUUUCAUAUUUUAAUAUAUAUAUAUAUAUGUGUGUGUGUG